AGUUUAUAUAGUUUAAGUAAAACAUUACAUUUUCAUUGUAAAAUUAAAAUUUUUUUAUUUUUAUAAAUUAC
This 71-nucleotide transfer RNA is filed under the name Chrysomya megacephala (oriental latrine fly). RNAcentral's name for it is "tRNA-Glu". Lineage: Eukaryota; Metazoa; Arthropoda; Insecta; Diptera; Calliphoridae. The record is from RNAcentral.